Lathyrus oleraceus (garden pea) is the source of this 355-nucleotide long non-coding RNA. RefSeq lists it as uncharacterized. The transcript is spliced from 2 exons. The record is from RefSeq and is a predicted model, not a curated record. NCBI's taxonomy places the organism in Eukaryota, Viridiplantae, Streptophyta, Magnoliopsida, Fabales, Fabaceae.
GAAGAAGAUAGUUGACAAAUAUACCUUUCAAAAUGGUGAAAUCCAUCUCAAACUUGUUCCAAUUUUUUGUUGUUCUAGUUUUGGUUGCAGCUGUUUGGAGCAUGGGAUUACAACAAGUGGAUUGUGAAAAGAUAUGUGUAUCACCUAUGGGAGAAUGUGGUCCAGCCGGAGAUUGUGCUGAAAGGUGUAGAGUCUCAUAUGCUGGCGGGGAAGGUUCCUGCACUCUUGGCCUAUGUAGCUGUACUCAUGGAUGUGAUUGAAGGACUUUAAAUUAUUAAUAGUGUCAUUUUUUUAUAAUUUUAAUUUUAAUAUAAACUAUUUAUAUGAUAAAACAUAUGAUAUUUAUUCAGACACA